CCAGUAGCUCAGAAUUUCAUCCAGAAUGACUAAGAGAUAAUGAUGAUCUAUACAUAUCUGAGAUUAGUAGUUUGUGUCCGUUUUGUAUGCAUUUAAAAAUAGAUGGUUAAGUAAUAGUAGGAGGUAGGCAGUAGUUAUAUUGUAUUUGUAUUUAUAUGCAUGAUUGUAGUAGUUGACCCAUGGGGACAAUCCCAAUUAAUAUUUUUUUUGCCCUUGGGUUCAAAGCCAAAAAUAUGCAGAUCUAGUAGAAAAGGGCCUUUAUAUAAUGAAUACUUUGUCAGGGUUUAAUUGCAAAACACCCCUAAACUAAAUUAACUCAACAUGGUCUGGUUCAGUCAAUUGUCAAAAAGACUUAAUUGAAUAUAGCCUUUAUCAAGGGCCUAAAUGCAAG
This 391-nucleotide long non-coding RNA is filed under the name Elaeis guineensis (African oil palm). RNAcentral's name for it is "long non-coding RNA (EGUI_LNC002753)". The record is from RNAcentral. Lineage: Eukaryota; Viridiplantae; Streptophyta; Magnoliopsida; Arecales; Arecaceae.